AGAUUUAGAAAUGGAGGUAUUACAUUUUUGGAGAGGAAGAGCUUGAUGGAAAAUCAGAGGAGAGUGAUUCGAGUCCGACUUGAUGCAUCGAUUUGGUGAUGAAAUUUCAUAUUUCACUAGGGAAAUUCAAGAAUUCACUUUGCCUUAAUUUCAUCGCCAUGGCUGCGGAGCUUUCUUUUGGAGUUCACCGACGUCUCUUGUGUUUACAACCUUCUUUUUUCUCAACCGUACAAAGGCAUUUUACAAUGAUUGUUAAAGAGCAAAAAGGAUUUUUAUGCUGAUUUUGAGUGUUUUUGACCGCCUCAAUUUGUUAACUUACAGGUAAAGCAAUGUGUCGUCUUAUUUUCAGUUGUUUUGAUAAAAGAAGGGGUAUACCUGAUGAUGCACUUGACUCUCUAAUUCUUACAGAGUCUAAUAAAGAAAUUUUGGUAUUGUAAUUUAUCUCUUGAUUCAUAUUAUUAGUAUGAUUAUUGCAGUUAGUAAAAUAGUAGUUUUCAUAUCGUCUUGCUUUUAUGAUUUUGUUUUAUAAGCCUUACAUUUCCCUCUUUAUCUGAAUAUUCUGUCAUGUUGAUCCUGACUCCUGAGUCUGAAAGAGGUCUUCGAGCCUUACAUGUUUAAUUUUUUUAAAAAAAAGGAAUCCUGAGUCUGAAAUAGUACUAAAUCUAUAUUAGACAUUAAUGCAACUAAUAACAUGUAAAGCUGAGGGCUGGAUUAGAGCAUGAUUUUGUGACAAUUGAAGGUAGUUGGCUGUACUAUUGAACUUGGUAAUUGGUUAGAAUAAUGCUUAGUUUGUAUUUGAUGUUAAACUUUGGCCCUUUGAAUGAAGAUGCAUUUGUCCCAAUCCCCCAAUUCAAAUUGGAACUGGUAACAUGAGAAUUUUAAGUCCUUUGCUCGCUCUUUCAUGGUUGACACCUGUUAACAAGCAUGGAGAUUCUGGUCAUACCCAUUUUGUUUUCUUAAGUUACUCACAUUCUUAUUUCUCUAUCUCUCUCUCAUACAUAAAAAAAAUAAAUCAUUUUUUCCCUUUUGUGGGCCUCUAAAUUUCAUCAGUUUCUUCAACUGCCGAACAUUUUUAGAGUUGCUAUAUUUUUCUAUCUUGGUGUGGUCCCUCAAUUUAUUGUUUCCCCAUUUAAGUUGGUUUGUCUUGAGAAAAAGUUUAAUAGGUGAAAUUAUCAAUUUUUCAGGAAGGAUGUUAUAUGCAUUUAUUGCAAUCAAAUUUGUUUUUUUUGUUUGUUUUGUUGUUAGUCUUUAUAUUAAAUUGCUUAUUUUAAGGACGACAAAGUAUUGUUACAACUAAAAAGGGAAAAUGAAGGGUUGAACUGGGCUAUUUUGAGGAGAACUAAUAUGAUGAUAUCAUGGAUCUUUAGGAGAUUUCAGGUCCUCGAGCAUGUUUACUGCAAUUAUAAUUUGGCAAUGGUGCCAACUCGAUGUUUAUAAUCUUGAGCUAUAAGUUGUGAAAUUCGGAUAAUAUUUAGCAGUAUUAAUCACUAACUUAAGUUGUGAAAAACAAAGCCAGAGGAAUAGUCACUAAACUCCAGUUUUGGUAAUGAGCACUUGAUGGAGUUGCAUAUUGAUCAUCAUAGAUCCGACUUCCUAUAAACCUGGCAAAGU
Long non-coding RNA from Solanum stenotomum, 1611 nucleotides. RefSeq lists it as uncharacterized. The transcript has 3 exons. The record is from RefSeq and is a predicted model, not a curated record. NCBI's taxonomy places the organism in Eukaryota, Viridiplantae, Streptophyta, Magnoliopsida, Solanales, Solanaceae.